UGAGGAAUAUUGGACAAUGGAGGCAACUCUGAUCCAGCCAUGCCGCGUGCAGGAAGACUGCCCUAUGGGUUGUAAACUGCUUUUAUACAGGAAGAAGCCGCUCUACGUG
Molecule: ribosomal RNA, 109 nt
Filed under: uncultured bacterium
Lineage: Bacteria
Description: partial 16S ribosomal RNA
Rfam family: Bacterial small subunit ribosomal RNA
Source: RNAcentral